Pelobates cultripes (western spadefoot toad) is the source of this 219-nucleotide non-coding RNA. Lineage: Eukaryota; Metazoa; Chordata; Amphibia; Anura; Pelobatidae. The record is from the annotation of a GenBank genome assembly.
UUGGAUUCACUUAAAUGUUUGUUUUAUGUUGCCACACCUGUUUGUUUUCCACUUUCCCUUUGUUUCAGCCUGGACCUGCAGCAGUGUUUCAAGUCUCUGCCCUUUCUUGCAGGUAAGUGCUAUUGUGGUUUAGUAUGGUUGUUUUAGCAUGCAUUAGGCAGUGUAGGACCUGCCAGAUAUGGGGUACAUUGGCGUUGUUGGCAGGCUUAUGCAAUGUAU